CCUACGGGGGGCUGCAGUGGGGAAUAUUGGACAAUGGGGGCAACCCUGAUCCAGCCAUGCCGCGUGUGUGAAGAAGGCCCUCGGGUUGUAAAGCACUUUCAGUGAGGAAGAACGCCUGGUGGUUAAUACCCAGCAGGAAAGACAUCACUCACAGAAGAAGCACCGGCUAACUCCGUGCCAGCAGCCGCGGUAAUACGGAGGGUGCGAGCGUUAAUCGGAAUUACUGGGCGUAAAGCGCGCGUAGGUGGCUUGAUAAGCCGGUUGUGAAAGCCCCGGGCUCAACCUGGGAACGGCAUCCGGAACUGUCAAGCUAGAGUGCAGGAGAGGAAGGUAGAAUUCCCGGUGUAGCGGUGAAAUGCGUAGAGAUCGGGAGGAAUACCAGUGGCGAAGGCGGCCUUCUGGACUGACACUGACACUGAGGUGCGAAAGCGUGGGUAGCAAACAGGAUUAGAUACCCGAGUAGUC
This 465-nucleotide ribosomal RNA is filed under the name Vreelandella stevensii. RNAcentral describes it as "partial 16S ribosomal RNA". It matches the Rfam family "Bacterial small subunit ribosomal RNA", at positions 338 to 795 of the family's 1533-position model. The record is from RNAcentral. Lineage: Bacteria; Pseudomonadati; Pseudomonadota; Gammaproteobacteria; Oceanospirillales; Halomonadaceae.